RNAcentral lists this microRNA precursor (203 nucleotides) under Oryza sativa Indica Group (long-grained rice). Its description in RNAcentral is "MIR812 microRNA precursor family". It matches the Rfam family "MIR812 microRNA precursor family". Lineage: Eukaryota; Viridiplantae; Streptophyta; Magnoliopsida; Poales; Poaceae. The record is from Rfam by way of RNAcentral.
AAUAAGUACAGUUUUACACUAUUCAUCUUCAACGUUUGACCGUUCGUCUUAUUUAAUUUUUUUAUUACUAAUUUUAUUGUUAUUAGAUGAUAAAGUAUGAAUAGUACUUUAUGUGUGACUAAUUUUUUUAAAAAAAUUCAUAAAAUUUUUAAAUAAGACGAACGGUCAAACGUUGGACACGGAUUUCCACGGCUACAUUUAUU